UAAACUAGGAUUAGAUACCCUAUUAUUUUAGAGUGUUAAGUUGUUUGCCUGAGUAGUAUUAGUUAUGUUCUUGAAACUUAAAGAAUUUGGCGGUAUCUCAUUCCGUCCAGAGGAAUCUGUCUCGUUAUCGAUAGUCCACGUUGGACCUUACUUAGUUGCUUUGGUUUGUAUACCGCCGUUUAUUGAUUAUCUUUUUAGGGUUUAAUUAAUUUUCUAGUUUUUUUAUUUCGAGUUAUUUCAGGUCAAGGUGCAGCUUGUUUCUAAGUGAAUGAUGGAUUACAUUGUUAUUUGUUUGUAGAUUAUUGGUUUUAAUAUUGGUAUGAAAUUGGAUUUGGUUGUAAUGAUUUGUAGAUUGUUAUUAUGAUAAGUGGUUCUGGGAUAUGCACACAUCGCCCGUCGCUCUCGUUUUAUUAAUGAGAUAAGUCGUAACAUAGUA
RNAcentral lists this ribosomal RNA (436 nucleotides) under Microcerotermes parvus. Its description in RNAcentral is "partial 12S ribosomal RNA". The record is from RNAcentral. Lineage: Eukaryota; Metazoa; Arthropoda; Insecta; Blattodea; Termitidae.